AUUGAACGCUGGCGGCAUGCCUUACACAUGCAAGUCGAACGGCAGCACGGGAGCUUGCUCCUGGUGGCGAGUGGCGAACGGGUGAGUAAUACAUCGGAACGUACCCUGAAGUGGGGGAUAACGUAGCGAAAGUUACGCUAAUACCGCAUAUUCUGUGAGCAGGAAAGAGGGGGAUCGCAAGACCUCUUGCUUUAGGAGCGGCCGAUGUCGGAUUAGCUAGUUGGUGAGGUAAAGGCUCACCAAGGCGACGAUCCGUAGCGGGUCUGAGAGGAUGAUCCGCCACACUGGGACUGAGACACGGCCCAGACUCCUACGGGAGGCAGCAGUGGGGAAUUUUGGACAAUGGGCGCAAGCCUGAUCCAGCCAUGCCGCGUGAGUGAAGAAGGCCUUCGGGUUGU
Molecule: ribosomal RNA, 398 nt
Filed under: uncultured bacterium
Lineage: Bacteria
Description: bacterial SSU rRNA
Rfam family: Bacterial small subunit ribosomal RNA
Source: RNAcentral